RNAcentral lists this ribosomal RNA (253 nucleotides) under uncultured bacterium. RNAcentral's name for it is "partial 16S ribosomal RNA". It matches the Rfam family "Bacterial small subunit ribosomal RNA", at positions 524 to 776 of the family's 1533-position model. The record is from RNAcentral.
UACGGGGGGAGCUAGCAUUGUUCGGAAUUACUGGGCGUAAAGCGCGCGUAGGCGGCUUAGAAAGUUGGAGGUGAAAUCCCAGGGCUUAACCCUGGAACUGCCUCCAAAACUCCUAAGCUAGAAUAUUAGAGAGGUGAGUAGAAUUCCUAGUGUAGAGGUGAAAUUCGUAGAUAUUAGGAAGAAUACCGGUGGCGAAGGCGGCUCACUGGCUAAUUAUUGACGCUGAGGUGCGAAAGCGUGGGGAGCGAACAGG